CGCUGGCGGCGUGCCUAACACAUGCAAGUCGAGCGGGGAGAUCCCUUCGGGGGUCUUCUAGCGGCGGACGGGUGAGUAACGCGUGAGCAACCUUUCCUUCACAGGGGGAUAACGCAGCGAAAGCUGUGCUAAUACCGCAUGAGACCACAGGACCGCAUGGUCAAGGGGUCAAAGGAGCAAUCCAGUGAAGGGUGGGCUCGCGCCUGAUUAGCUAGUUGGCGGGGUAAAGGCCCACCAAGGCAACGAUCAGUAGCCGACCUGAGAGGGUGAUCGGCCACACUGGGACUGAGACACGGCCCAGACUCCUACGGGAGGCAGCAGUGGGGAAUAUUGGGCAAUGGGGGAAACCCUGACCCAGCAACGCCGCGUGAGGGAAGAAGGUUUUCGGAUCGUAAACCUCUGUCCUUGGUGAAGAGCAGAAGACGGUAGCCAAGGAGGAAGCCCCGGCUAACUACGUGCCAGCAGCCGC
This 469-nucleotide ribosomal RNA is filed under the name uncultured bacterium. RNAcentral describes it as "bacterial SSU rRNA". It matches the Rfam family "Bacterial small subunit ribosomal RNA", at positions 34 to 518 of the family's 1533-position model. The record is from RNAcentral.